Molecule: long non-coding RNA, 907 nt
Organism: Macadamia integrifolia
Lineage: Eukaryota; Viridiplantae; Streptophyta; Magnoliopsida; Proteales; Proteaceae
Exons: 2
Source: RefSeq, a predicted model, not a curated record
CAGCCUAGGUGGAAAGUUUUCUGCCUGGCGAGAAACUUUCGCGCCGAAGUAAUAUUGCAAAGAAACUGAACUGCAAAUUAUGGUUAGGAUUGGUUCCACUUUCGGUCUUUGACUCCGGUUCACCCAGGGGUCCCUACCGCCAAAAAAACAAAAAGGAAGGCUCAUCUGGAGUGUGAUAAACUGAUAAUGGUUCUUCACUUCUUUAGGUUAGGAAGCUUACAUAACCUACCAGCUUGAAACAGAUGGAAUUUUAUUGAUGCAACAAUGUCUCUGCUUUACUUCUCAAUUACAAAUUGUUGAAGCUUGAAACAGAUGGAAUUUUAUUGAUGCAACAAUGUCUCUGCUUUACUUCUCUGUUUCUUUGCCAAUGAUGACUGGUGAGAAAGAAGCUGAAUCUGACCUUCUUGUGUUUGGAUUGUGCUGAAAAUGCAAGAGAAACUAGGACGGUCUGAGGCAAGUAGUUACUGUUGUGCCUUAAUGUGCAAUUGCAGGGUUCUUUGUUCGAGGUAGCCCAGUACUGUAUGAAGUAUUCAAUCUGGAGUAAGGUUAUUAAACUCUAAAUUGUUAUCUGAAUCUGGUUCAACCAGAAUCAGGAUUGGACUUGGUAUCGAUCCGAUUUCAAUAUGCGAGCAUCGUUAUCAUAAUGAAUCAAUCAAUGUUGUUAUGAAAUAGAAACUACUGGCCACAUGAUUCAUCAACAUUUUGUAAUAGUCCAGGGAGUAUGUGACAUUCUUGUAAAUAAAAGCAUAGACUGCCUAAUUGAACAAGUUUGGGUCUAAACACCUCAGCUUCUGUAUAUCAUAUGAAAUGGACAUACAAAGGAGGGAAAAUGUUUUAACCAUUCCUCAUCCUGCUUGUUUACACCACAUCCUGCAUUUAAUUGAUGGAUUAUUAGUCAUAUGGUUCA